GACGAACGCUGGCGGCGUGCUUAACACAUGCAAGUCGAACGGAAAGGCCCUGCUUUUGUGGGGUGCUCGAGUGGCGAACGGGUGAGUAACACGUGAGUAACCUGCCCUUGACUUUGGGAUAACUUCAGGAAACUGGGGCUAAUACCGGAUAGGAGCUCCUGCUGCAUGGUGGGGGUUGGAAAGUUUCGGCGGUUGGGGAUGGACUCGCGGCUUAUCAGCUUGUUGGUGGGGUAGGGGCUUACCAAGGCUUUGACGGGUAGCCGGCCUGAGAGGGUGACCGGCCACAUUGGGACUGCGAUACGGCCCAGACUCCUACGGGAGGCAGCAGUGGGGAAUCUUGCACAAUGGGCGGAAGCCUGAUGCAGCAACGCCGCGUGCGGGAUGACGGCCUUCGGGUUGUAAACCGCUUUCGCCUGUGACGAAGCGUGAGUGACGGUAAUGGGUAAAGAAGCACCGGCUAACUACGUG
RNAcentral lists this ribosomal RNA (468 nucleotides) under uncultured bacterium. RNAcentral describes it as "partial 16S ribosomal RNA". It matches the Rfam family "Bacterial small subunit ribosomal RNA", at positions 28 to 507 of the family's 1533-position model. The record is from RNAcentral.